RNAcentral lists this ribosomal RNA (498 nucleotides) under uncultured bacterium. RNAcentral's name for it is "partial 16S ribosomal RNA". It matches the Rfam family "Bacterial small subunit ribosomal RNA", at positions 30 to 523 of the family's 1533-position model. The record is from RNAcentral.
AUUGAACGCUGGCGGCAUGCCUUACACAUGCAAGUCGAACGGUAACAGGUCUUCGGAUGCUGACGAGUGGCGAACGGGUGAGUAAUACAUCGGAACGUGCCUAGUAGUGGGGGAUAACUACUCGAAAGAGUGGCUAAUACCGCAUGAGAUCUACGGAUGAAAGCAGGGGAUCGCAAGACCUUGUGCUACUAGAGCGGCCGAUGGCAGAUUAGGUAGUUGGUGGGAUAAAAGCUUACCAAGCCGACGAUCUGUAGCUGGUCUGAGAGGACGAUCGGCCACACUGGGACUGCGACACGGCCCAGACUCCUACGGGAGGCAGCAGUGGGGAAUUGUGGACAAUGGGCGCAAGCCUGAUCCAGCAAUGCCGCGUGCAGGAUGAAGGCCUUCGGGUUGUAAACUGCUUUUGUACGGAACGAAAAGCCCCGGGUUAAUACCCUGGGGUCAUGACGGUACCGUAAGAAUAAGCACCGGCUAACUACGUGCCAGCCGCCGCCGUAA